RNAcentral lists this unclassified non-coding RNA (120 nucleotides) under Mus musculus (house mouse). RNAcentral describes it as "partial miR-302 spliced host RNA". Lineage: Eukaryota; Metazoa; Chordata; Mammalia; Rodentia; Muridae. The record is from RNAcentral.
CACCCUCCGAGGACAGAACAGGACUCUUUGGGAGGCGGUCACGAAGGGUCCCACAGAAGUACGUACCUCAAUGGCUUUUGCUGCUUGCUCUUUUGUUUCAAAUUCCACAAAGGCAAAUCC